Molecule: ribosomal RNA, 305 nt
Filed under: uncultured bacterium
Lineage: Bacteria
Description: bacterial SSU rRNA
Rfam family: Bacterial small subunit ribosomal RNA
Source: RNAcentral
UGGGUCCUACGGGGGGCAGCAGUGGGGAAUAUUGCACAAUGGGGGAAACCCUGAUGCAGCGACGCCGCGUGAGUGAAGAAGUAUUUCGGUAUGUAAAGCUCUAUCAGCAGGGAAGAAAAUGACGGUACCUGACUGAGAAGCCCCGGCUAACUACGUGCCAGCAGCCGCGGUAAUACGUAGGGGGCAAGCGUUAUCCGGAUUUAUUGGGUUUAAAGGGUGCGUAGGCGGAAUGCCAAGUCAGCGGUAAAAUCGCGGGGCUCAACCUCGCUACGCCGUUGAAACUGGCGUUCUUGAGUGGCCGAGAA